GACGAACGCUGGCGGCGUGCUUAACACAUGCAAGUCGAACGGAAAGGCCCUGCUUUUGUGGGGUGCUCGAGUGGCGAACGGGUGAGUAACACGUGAGUAACCUGCCCUUGACUUUGGGAUAACUUCAGGAAACUGGGGCUAAUACCGGAUAGGAGCUCCUGCUGCAUGGUGGGGGUUGGAAAGUUUCGGCGGUUGGGGAUGGACUCGCGGCUUAUCAGCUUGUUGGUGGGGUAGUGGCUUACCAAGGUUUUGACGGGUAGCCGGCCUGAGAGGGUGACCGGCCAGUUGGGGAUGGGGUACGGGCCAGACUCCCACGGGGGGCAGCCGGGGGGGAUUUGGCAAAAUGGGGGGGAGCCUGAAGCAACAACGCGGGGGGGGGGAAGGCCGGCUUGGGGUUGGAAACCGCUUUCCCCUGUGACGAAGCGGGGGUGACGGUAAAGGGUAAAAAAACAACGGCUAAACAC
RNAcentral lists this ribosomal RNA (464 nucleotides) under uncultured bacterium. Its description in RNAcentral is "partial 16S ribosomal RNA". It matches the Rfam family "Bacterial small subunit ribosomal RNA", at positions 28 to 504 of the family's 1533-position model. The record is from RNAcentral.